This 72-nucleotide transfer RNA is filed under the name Homo sapiens (human). RNAcentral describes it as "tRNA-Glu-CTC-18-1". Lineage: Eukaryota; Metazoa; Chordata; Mammalia; Primates; Hominidae. The record is from RNAcentral.
UCCCUGGUGUUCCGGUGGUUAGGAUUUGGCAUUCUCACUGUUGUGGUGCGGAUUCAAUCCUGGCUUAGGGUA